This 341-nucleotide long non-coding RNA is filed under the name Medicago truncatula (barrel medic). Its description in RNAcentral is "long non-coding RNA (MTRU_LNC007293)". The record is from RNAcentral. Lineage: Eukaryota; Viridiplantae; Streptophyta; Magnoliopsida; Fabales; Fabaceae.
CUGAGCACUCAGCAUACUUAUUGAAAAGAUCCUUCAGAGCCUCGACAGAUGUUAAUUUUCCUUUACAAAAUAUCAUUACAUCAUCAGCAUACAUAAUGUGAGAUGGAAUGUUGUGAAGUCUGGAGCUGUUAAUCAAACUGAGUUUUCCUUGUUCCACUAGUGAAGUAAUGGACCUACUAAGAACAUCCUCUGCAAUGCAAAAUAAAAGAGGGGAGAGGGGGUCACCUUGUCUAACCCCUCUACUGCAGUGAAAAUAUCCAUGCUGGGAACCAUUGAUGGAAAUUGAAAGAGUAGCAGAUUCUAAGAUUACCUUGAUCCAGUUGCAGAAUUUUUCAUUGAAG